ACGCUGGCGGCAGGCCUAACACAUGCAAGUCGAGCGGUAGAGAGAAGCUUGCUUCUCUUGAGAGCGGCGGACGGGUGAGUAAUGCCUAGGAAUCUGCCUGGUAGUGGGGGAUAACGUUCGGAAGCGGACGCUAAUACCGCAUACGUCCUACGGGAGAAAGCAGGGGACCUUCGGGCCUUGCGCUAUCAGAUGAGCCUAGGUCGGAUUAGCUAGUUGGUGGGGUAAUGGCUCACCAAGGCGACGAUCCGUAACUGGUCUGAGAGGAUGAUCAGUCACACUGGAACUGAGACACGGUCCAGACUCCUACGGGAGGCAGCAGUGGGGAAUAUUGGACAAUGGGCGAAAGCCUGAUCCAGCCAUGCCGCGUGUGUGAAGAAGGUCUUCGGAUUGUAAAGCACUCUAAGUUGGGAGGAAGGGCAGUUGCCUAAUACGUAACUGUUUUGACGUUACCGACAGAAUAAGCACCGGCUAACUCUGUGCCAGCAGCCGCGGUAAUACAGAGGGUGCAAGCGUUAAUCGGAAUUACUGGGCGUAAAGCGCGCGUAGGUGGUUUGUUAAGUUGGAUGUGAAAUCCCCGGGCUCAACCUGGGAACUGCAUUCAAAACUGACUGACUAGAGUAUGGUAGAGGGUGGUGGAAUUUCCUGUGAAGCGGUGAAAUGCGUAGAUAUAGGAAGGAACACCAGUGGCGAAGGCGACCACCUGGACUAAUACUGACACUGAGGUGCGAAAGCGUGGGGAGCAAAC
RNAcentral lists this ribosomal RNA (745 nucleotides) under uncultured bacterium. Its description in RNAcentral is "bacterial SSU rRNA". It matches the Rfam family "Bacterial small subunit ribosomal RNA", at positions 33 to 773 of the family's 1533-position model. The record is from RNAcentral.